Molecule: ribosomal RNA, 536 nt
Filed under: Bifidobacterium pseudocatenulatum
Lineage: Bacteria; Bacillati; Actinomycetota; Actinomycetes; Bifidobacteriales; Bifidobacteriaceae
Description: bacterial SSU rRNA
Rfam family: Bacterial small subunit ribosomal RNA
Source: RNAcentral
GGGUGGUAAUGCCGGAUGUUCCACAUGAGCGCAUGCGAGUGUGGGAAAGGCUUUUGCGGCAUGGGAUGGGGUCGCGUCCUAUCAGCUUGUUGGUGGGGUAACGGCCUACCAAGGCGUUGACGGGUAGCCGGCCUGAGAGGGCGACCGGCCACAUUGGGACUGAGAUACGGCCCAGACUCCUACGGGAGGCAGCAGUGGGGAAUAUUGCACAAUGGGCGCAAGCCUGAUGCAGCGACGCCGCGUGCGGGAUGGAGGCCUUCGGGUUGUAAACCGCUUUUGUUCAAGGGCAAGGCACGGUUUCGGCCGUGUUGAGUGGAUUGUUCGAAUAAGCACCGGCUAACUACGUGCCAGCAGCCGCGGUAAUACGUAGGGUGCAAGCGUUAUCCGGAUUUAUUGGGCGUAAAGGGCUCGUAGGCGGUUCGUCGCGUCCGGUGUGAAAGUCCAUCGCUUAACGGUGGAUCCGCGCCGGGUACGGGCGGGCUUGAGUGCGGUAGGGGAGACUGGAAUUCCCGGUGUAACGGUGGAAUGUGUAGAUA